Molecule: transfer RNA, 84 nt
Filed under: Sulfolobus sp. A20-N-G8
Lineage: Archaea; Thermoproteati; Thermoproteota; Thermoprotei; Sulfolobales; Sulfolobaceae
Also listed under: 1 other name
Description: tRNA-Leu
Source: RNAcentral
AGCCUGGUAAGGCCGCGGGGCUCAUAACCCAUUCACACGUGAGACACCCCGAGGUCCCUGGUUCAAAUCCAGGCCCCGCUACCA